CCAUAUUUCCAUUUUUCAACUUCAGAGUUUCACAUUCUAAAGCGCAAAGUCGCGAAGCAACUUCGCUGGAGUGACGUCCUCCUCUCCCCCGGCUGUUGUGACGCCCCUGCUCUCCUCUCCCCUCCCUCGCUGCUAGUCCAGCUGCUAUCUUUUCUUGCAUCUAGAACUCAUCGAUCUCAGCAAUAGUAGGUUGUCGAGUCAUGAAGAUGUGUCAUUGGAGCUGAGUUUGGCUGAAGAUUCAUCAAUUAUUUCGAAUUGACAGCCAGGGAAUGUUCCUCUUAAUUUGGUAUUAUCAUUUCAUUUUAUUGUGCUCUUAUGUUGAUUUAGCAGUUAAUUGGGAUUUUGGUUCUCUGAAAUUUAAGGUUAUAUGAUUCUCUCUUAUUUUUGUUAUCAGUUACAAACUUUUUGCACUGGUAUUGGAUCUGAUAGUUGAUGGAAAUAAUGCGAAAUUGCAGACUCUAUCUGUGAAAGAACACCACGAUGUCUACAUCCUACCAUCCCAAGCAAUGCUCUAAUACCAGCAUCAGCUCGUAGCUUGACCUGUAGCUUGUCUGGCAAAUUCAAACUCACGUUUAAAAAAUAGCACUUUAUAAUAAAUUUGAAUAAUUUGCAUACAUAGUCUAUAUGACAUAUAAUAACAACAGGCUGGAAUUACUAAUUAAUGGAUUCUUAUUUUCUUAAUGUAGGUAACUUGAGGGUUCCAUGGAGAGGAACCACAAGAGCGCGCUGAGAACAAUGUAGCAGACUGGCGUAUGUGAGGGGAGCUCCCCUCCCUAAUCUCAGCAAUUAGCAUUCAAUUGAAGUGAUAUACAUAAACUAUAAGAUACAAAACUAACCUCCAUCAUUCUGCUUUUGUUCAGCAUCGUAUGCAUUUGCUUGUAUGAACCAGAGGCACCGAAUGGGGUUGGUUUAGGGAUUGUGGUGUAUGAUGGUUGGUUUUUCUUCCUUGUGAGUAAUUAUGGCUGAUUGAUGUUGGUUGGGGUUGAUUGCGCCACAAAGAUAGAAGCAUAUUUGAAACCGGAUUGGUAUUCUUUUCCCUCAAUUGCUAACUUACCUGUCAUUCUUUCUGAAUCGUGAAUCUCCUCUCCAUCCCUCCUCUCUUUUGCACUUCAAAUUUUAAUAAUUAUGUGUUUCUCUUUACAGUGUACGGCCUAUUUUUCAGUGAUUAUUUACAUUUCCUUAUCUUUGCAAUUUAUUUUCUUCAAAGAAUGUCUUGGUUUUUGCUUAUAAUUUCUCAUUACUUCUUGGUCACUAGUAGAAACACCUCAAAAGUUUCCAAAACAUAUGCCCUGAUCUUUCUAGAACUGAGCAUUUAAUACAUGAAUUCAUGAAAAAAAAAUUUCAUCAACAAAAACUGAACUGCAGAUGCCCUGGUCAUGUGUAAAACAUGAGCAUUUUAUUUAUAAUCUGCUCCAUUUCUUACUUGACCGCAACAUUUGCUGAGAAAUAGGUAUUUGGGGUUUUUCAUGUUUGGAUUCAUAUCAGAUUUCUAGGUUAAUACAAUUCAAUUUAGUUUGAAUAUGAUCUUUCUAAUGUGAAUUUAAGAUAUGUCAUGUGUCUUAUGCAGUGAUACUUUAUUGGAUUUGAGAUUCUCAUGUGUCAUGUGCAAUAUAUUGCUGUCUUAUUUCAUCGAGUUACACUUGUUUUAUUUGAUCAGAAUUAAGCACUCAACGUAAUUUAUUUAUUAUGUAUUACAUAUAACUACAUAGAUAUAACUAUUCUCUAAUCAAUUACCCAUACUCAGUGUAUGUAGUGAAAAUCUAUGACGAAAACAACUAAUUAGGUAAUUUGGAAGUCUAUAAUAUAAGAGAGAAGAGUAGUGCAUAGUUUCAUAUAGCCUGAUAUAGCCUCAAGCUAUCUGUUUUAACUUUGUUUUAACUCUAACACAAGGUUGUUUGAUGCUCAAUUCUCCAGAGUAGGUUCUGGUUGCUGAACCUUAGGAAUUUAGUGGAAACACAAGCUUGCAAGUGUAGCAUAUUGAUCUACUCAUUUUGGUGGCACUUACAAAAUCUUAAUUUCAGGUCAUGCUUGUGCUUUCCACUUACUGUAGGACAUUGUUCAAAGAUUUCUGCCUCUAUGCUGAUACGACGCUUGCCACUUUAAGAUUUACCAUGCGGGCUUGGAUGUGUCUCAUUUGAGCCUGAAUUGCAGAACUAGGCUGAUGUGCUCAUGUGGUUGUGUUGUGCUGCUCCUGGUGCUCUGUUGCUGUUCUGAUGUCAUUUUGGUACUGCUGUUCUAUUCUGCUCUGGUCUGCCCCUGCCUGCACUUUGUUGUGUGAUCUGUAGUCUGUUUUACACAUUAUUGUUGUUGAAGCCGGUGGCCACGUAUCUGAAGAUCAUACAUCAGGGUGCAAUCAGUUUGUACAAAGCUAUUUUAGAUUAAUGUUGUCUUGUUUUGGCUUUGCUAGUUUUUUUUUUCCUUUUUUUGGGUAUGGCCCGUAUGGGUUGUAUAGUUUGGUUGGAUAGCUUAUUUGUUUUGUAUUUUUUGGCUUCAAAGUUGUUAAGAGGCCUAGUGUAUUUUAUUUGGUUGAGCUUGUACAAAAAUUAUUUCACAUUUGGUUAAUAAAAGUUUACUAUUUUCCAAAAUGAGCUUAUAGGUGAUCAGGCUUGUAAAUAAU
This is a long non-coding RNA of Spinacia oleracea (spinach), 2617 nucleotides long. RefSeq lists it as uncharacterized. The record is from RefSeq and is a predicted model, not a curated record. The transcript has 3 exons. Lineage: Eukaryota; Viridiplantae; Streptophyta; Magnoliopsida; Caryophyllales; Amaranthaceae.